Penaeus chinensis is the source of this 322-nucleotide long non-coding RNA. RefSeq lists it as uncharacterized. The record is from RefSeq and is a predicted model, not a curated record. The transcript has 2 exons. NCBI's taxonomy places the organism in Eukaryota, Metazoa, Arthropoda, Malacostraca, Decapoda, Penaeidae.
UUUCCAACUUAUAUAAAUAAUUCAGUUAAGUCUAACCACCGUAAUACAUUAACAACAGUGAGGUGCAUACAUCUUGUGACAUUAACCUGUUGACGAGCAAUUUUACACGCGUGUUUGUGACUGCGUGGAUAAAGGACUCGUCACUUGCCUAAAUUCGCCGUCCUGCGCUGACUGGAGGAAUGGCACGGACUCGAGUGCAGCGUCCUGUCCCGCCUCAAGAACAGCACAGCGGGGCCAUCUUUACGAGAGGCUGCAGAAUGUUCGUCGUGUAAGAACGCCAUGAUGUGAAGAUAAUUACUCGGGACGAGAAGGGGAUGGAAGG